Molecule: ribosomal RNA, 274 nt
Filed under: uncultured bacterium
Lineage: Bacteria
Description: partial 16S ribosomal RNA
Rfam family: Bacterial small subunit ribosomal RNA
Source: RNAcentral
ACACGAACCGCGCGAACGUUAUUCGGAAUCACUGGGCUUAAAGGGUGCGUAGGCGGUCCGGUAAGUUGGGUGUGAAAGCCCUCGGCUCAACCGAGGAAUUGCGCCCAAAACUACCGGACUUGAGGAAGACAGAGGUGAGCGGAACUUGCGGUGGAGCGGUGAAAUGCGUUGAUAUCGCAAGGAACACCAGUGGCGAAAGCGGCUCACUGGGUCUUUUCUGACGCUGAGGCACGAAAGCUAGGGGAGCGAACGGGAUUAGAUACCCCAGUAGUCC